CCCAGCCAAAGCCACUUUUAUUUUUAAGUUUGGUUAUUAUUCCCCAUUCUUUUUUCACAGUCUUGAGAUGAUUGUCCACAUGCUUAGGCUCGCAUUGGACGUUGAACUUUUGACUGAUUUCUGUAGCCACCUUAACAAAAGAUUCAGCUUUAAAGGUCGAAGAAGGUUUGCUCCUUUAAGUGUCUCAGCUAAUAUCGCAAGCAACAUGUGAGACAUUGGCUUCGACCAUGUGAAGUGCUUGCCCUUGCAUUUUUCAUUC
RNAcentral lists this long non-coding RNA (259 nucleotides) under Populus tremula. RNAcentral describes it as "long non-coding RNA (PTRE_LNC001201)". The record is from RNAcentral. Lineage: Eukaryota; Viridiplantae; Streptophyta; Magnoliopsida; Malpighiales; Salicaceae.